Lathyrus oleraceus (garden pea) is the source of this 1552-nucleotide long non-coding RNA. RefSeq lists it as uncharacterized. Lineage: Eukaryota; Viridiplantae; Streptophyta; Magnoliopsida; Fabales; Fabaceae. The record is from RefSeq and is a predicted model, not a curated record. The transcript has 4 exons.
CCACUAAUAGAAAACGCCAUCGUGUCGGUAAAAUACAAACAGUGAAUCGCGGCCACCAAAUCUUGAUGAUAGACACCCUUCUCGAAAUUCCACACCAACAAACCGGUCUUAGCUACCAAUCUUCAGUCGAUACCAAACCCUAGGUCUUGAAGCCUGAAAUAGGCGAGAAUAUAAGGGAAUUAGAGCCUCUCGUGUUAGGGAUUCCACUACUUCGGGUGAUUACACACGCCUAUGAGAAAAAGAUUAAGAAAGAAAGGUGGAUCGAGCCUACCUGCAGAAUGAAGAUCUGUCCUGGAAGUCGUUGAAGAGUGAAGAUGACGAUGUGGACCAAGGAUGACGGCGUUUCCGAUAUGAAUCCUUUGUGACCUCGCGUUCUUCUUCUUCUUCUUAUCUCGGAAAAUUAGGUUUAGCUCUUAUUGUUUCGUAGCUUCAAUGGGGAGCUCUGAAAAACAAUCCAGAAUGAGCUUUGAAGUGAAGGUAAGAGAAAGGGGCAGCGAAAAUUGCAAAGGAGAUUGAGAAUCCAAAAAUUCGAUCCUUUGUGAAUGAGGCUUGGGUUAUAUACAUUGAAGCUCUAGCUUGGCGUGCUGCAGAGAAAAAUGCAUAGUGAGUUUUUCGCAAAUGACUUCAUGAUGGUCAAGGAACUCUAGACUGGUACAACAUGUGAAAGCAGGUCUCACUUCGGAUUUGCGAGGCAGCUAUCACAGAUUGUUACAGACAUUACCUAUGUUGUAAUGGUGAGGUCUUUGUGUUUUUGCUUUCAAUUGGUUUCCAAUAGCCUAGUUUAAAACAUCCCACUAUCAGUGUUCCCUUUUUGCAGGCUAUUCCAUCAUCCAGACGUGGUAAAUAUGGGGGGAAAUGAAGCGCUCCAAGUCGUUUAUGAUUGCCUCGAGGGUACUAUCAAGCAGAUAAGUGACAAAAAUCUGGGGCCAACCCACGUCUCGACAAUAACUCUGAGGAUUGGUACGUAACGUCGUUGGGAGGAUCGUACAUGGUGACGCACCGUUCUUGUUUGAUGGAAACUCUGUCAAUUUGUUUGAUUUUCAAGGCAGGUUAAUUAGCAUAUGGAUUUCUUUUCUUGUGGUUGUAUGUGUUUGGCUACCAUGACUUUGCUUGGACUGUUUGUGGAAUGGAUCACGGCAGGAUGUCAUAUGGAGCUAUUAUCAUGGACAUGUUGGCAUGGAUCAAGGCGGAUAGGAACUUCUACGGACCAUUGGAAAUGUAGAAGACUUUGAACUUUGCUUUUAUGGUGAUGAGGUUUGAAAUGGCGAUGUACACAAUUUGACAUUAGGUCGUAGGUGAUUAGAUUAAUGUAAUGGAUCUUGUGCUAUAUGGUUUUGUAAUGUAUGAUUCAUAUUGUAAUUAUACAAUGGCAUGUUUGUAUUGUAAGUUGGUUGAAUAUGGUAAUGAAGGAAUUUGCUUGAGAUUGUAAGUUGGAUAUUUAAUGGUUAAUGGAAUUGGAUGUUUAUCAUGGUAAUUGGUUGUAAUGUAUGAUUUUGUUUUGAAUGGAAAUCAUAUUGGUUUGGACGUUGAAGGAUGAUGGAUGUAAUUGAAA